This 2392-nucleotide long non-coding RNA is filed under the name Oreochromis niloticus (Nile tilapia). RNAcentral describes it as "lncRNA (ENSONIG00000038361.1)". The record is from RNAcentral. Lineage: Eukaryota; Metazoa; Chordata; Actinopteri; Cichliformes; Cichlidae.
AUGGUGGCUCACAGGACAAGGCCACAUUCCUGUCCUGCCAGAAGAGAAGAGAAACUUCAGUCUUCAUGCAGUUCAACCACACCUGUCAUAUGGAAUAUGACAGGGGUUCAUGCAGUUUUCUACCCCACAGUUACAGCAUGUCUGACUGCCUGUUCAGCAUAUGCAAAAAUAUAUGAUGAGUUUAAGCAUGUGAUGACAAAGGCCUUCCAUUAUGGUGUUUGUCAUCACAUGUCACAGACAUCUGGAUGAUCAUUUGGAAUAAACUAAAAACUAAAAACUUGUUACUUCAUCUUUUAUCUUUAUUAUUAUUAUUGUUCUUAUUUUACAUUUUUCAUUGUUAAGCAUUGGGUUUAUUUGUAGUAGUCCUUUCCAACUUCUUUCCCUCUUCCAUGUUACUGUGUCAGCUUGUCAGCAUCUAUUUGAGGUUGGGAGUGGAACAGAAAGUGCCAAUAAAACCAGGAGAGGUUCUUAUAUUUCAGAAGAAGGGAUUAAUUCAAAAGAAAUGACCUAAAUGCCAUAUUUUAUUUAGGAACCCGAGAGCACUCUGCAAAAUAACACAUUCUUAUAAUUUCACCCUCAGAUGAGCCAAGCUACGACUGUCAGGGAAGGUGAUGUAGGUACAGAGCAUGUGAGAGUGGUUAAGUUGAUGUCUCUUGUCUAGAUGAAGGCACAGGAGGGAUCAAUGGCACGGCAUAGAGAUUCAGUAUCUUCAGUCUUCAGUGGACACUCCAUUUCUGGCACAAAACACCUGUAAAAGAUGGUCGAUUUAGGAGGUGACCCGACAACUUCAGCCUGUCAAACAUAGCAAUGGAGCAGUAUUUUUAAAAAAAACCCAACUAAUUAAGCAUGCACUCAGUACCCUAAGAAUUAUUAUGAUAGUUAAACACAGUGAUAGUCACAUAUCAUAUCACUUAAAACAGAGGUGAUCCAGUAAUGCUGCACUAAUGAAUUAGACUAACUAUUCACUUUAGCUAAAGUUAUUAAGUUCGCUAAAGAGUUGGGAUGCUGUGUAAGACAUAAAUAAAGCUCAAAUACAAAGGUUUGGAAACUGUUUUGCAUGUUUCCUUACUGUAGGGGUCUCUGCAAGCAUACAGGGCUCUGAGAGGGUACAAGAUGACAACUUUGGAAUUCUACUAGAAACAGUCGAUCAUAUUUGUUUGUCAAAGCUGAAUUCAGGGCAAACUAGGCUAAAUUAGCGUUUUUAGCUAACAGCUACAAUAAGCAUAAAAGUUACUGUACGGCUAUCAUUUGUUAACAUGACGCUUGUUCUUAUACAUGUAAUACAUUUAUUACCAACCUGAGAGUUUAUCCGCUGGUCAUUCGACAUGACGAAUGACUUCUGAAGUCUUAAUUCAGCUCAAGACGCUGUAGAGUCCCGUCAAUAACACUUAUCAGUCUGCUAGCAAAACCUAGUUCUAUUAAUCUGCGCUUGAACUGGAACCGGAUGUAAGUCCCAAAAAACUGAAUUGUACAACUGAAACUGAAUGGUGAGAGUAAAACUGAAAUUAUUCGAGAGCUGAAUUUUUAACCUCUUGAGCCCCAAGGGGUUUUCUGAGCUUCCUGCUCGAAAAUGCAAUGCCUCAAUUAAAUUGAUUAUUUCUCUGCAAUUACAAACUCCGUCCUUACAAUCUUUGUAUCAAAAUGAAGCCAACACUUGGGACAUUUAAUCAGAGGUGUAAAUAUUAAAGCGGAUAUUACUGUGUCAAAGUUACUGAGACUGGAACACAGAAAAAGGAAGUAGAUUUUAUUCUCGCCUAAUUUUUUUCUUCUUUUGCGGCUAAUUCAGUGAAUUUUGGUCCGAUCGUGGUCAAACUUCGUGUGUUUACGCAGUGAUAGCCCUGGAAGCUAGCCAGCCUAUUUAUAACCAGUUACAUGAAGUCUGAAGACUGUCUGGUUGUCGUUUGCGUGUUUAGCGGACUUCUGCGCAUUACGUAACUGCUCGUUUAAUCGCGGCUUGUUUGCGGUGUGUUUGGUGGUUGUAGAAAUGGUUUAUAUGACAUUGUAGCUGAGAUUCUGAGGUUUCUGUGGAUACCACACAUGUCUGGAGUUAUAUUUCUCAACCGGCGUUAUAACCGAUUAAACGUGAUCUCCUCCCUUUUGCCCCCGGUACCGGGGGCGUGGGGCUUAAGAGGCAGUUUCAAAGCAAAUCAAUUCAUUUUCAAAAUAUAAAAUUCAAUUUCAAUUUAGUGAUGAUCAUUUUCAAACCAUAAAUUCAAUUUCAAAUUAGACUAAUUCAAAUUCAGUUUUCAAAAGCUUUUAUUCAAGUUACAAUUCAAAUUCAAAUUUAACUUAUUCAAAUUCAGUUUCUGAUGGCACAGAUUUCUGCCCAUACAGCGUCACCAUCAGGUUUCCAUAAUGCAGCAGAAGCACAACACCUAAAGUCUACCUGGAG